Oncorhynchus keta (chum salmon) is the source of this 876-nucleotide long non-coding RNA. RefSeq lists it as uncharacterized. Lineage: Eukaryota; Metazoa; Chordata; Actinopteri; Salmoniformes; Salmonidae. The record is from RefSeq and is a predicted model, not a curated record. The transcript has 3 exons.
UCCAUCAUUACUUUAAGACAUGAAGGUCAGUCAAUACAACAGUCCAUCAUUACUUUAUGACAUGAAGGUCAGUCAAUACAACAGUCCAUCAUUACUUUAAGACAUGAAGGUCAGUCAAUACAACAGUCCAUCAUUACUUUAUGACAUGAAGGUCAGUCAAUACAACAGUCCAUCAUUACUUUAAGACAUGAAGGUCAGUCAAUACAACAGUCCAUCAUUACUUUAAGACAUGAAGGUCAGUCAAUACAACAGUCCAUCAUUACUUUAUGACAUGAAGGUCAGUCAAUACAACAGUCCAUCAUUACUUUAAGACAUGAAGGUCAGUCAAUACAACAGUCCAUCAUUACUUUAAGACAUGAAGGUCAGUCAAUACAACAGUCCAUCAUUACUUUAAGACAUGAAGGUCAGUCCAUCAUUACUUUAAGACAUGAAGGUCAGUCCAUCAUUACUUUAAGACAUGAAGGUCAGUCAAUACAACAGUCCAUCAUUACUUUAAGACAUGAAGGUCAGUCCAUCAUUACUUUAAGACAUGAAGGUCAGUCCAUCAUUACUUUAAGACAUGAAGGUCAGUCAAUACAACAGUCCAUCAUUACUUGUAAGACAUGAAGGUCAGUCAAUACAACAGUCCAUCAUUACUUGUAAGACAUGAAGGUCAGUCAAUCUGGAAAAUGCCAAGAACUCUGAACGUUUCUUCAAGUGCAGUCGCAAAAACCGUCAAGCGCUAUGAUGAAACUGGCUCUCAUGAGGACCGCCACAGGAAAGGAAGACCCAGAGUUCCCUCUGCUGCAGAGGAUAAGUUCAUUAGAGUUAACUGUCUCUCAUUAGGACCGCCACAGGAAAGGAAGACACAGAGUUACCUCUGCUGCAGAGGAUAAC